GACUCAGCCUUCAGGCAGGAAUCCCAUGAAUUGAAGAAGACAGGCAGCAGGGCGGGCGAAGGAAUUGGAGAAGCGGCGUAUUUCUGUAUUCCACAAUCCUUGGUGUUUUAUCAUCCAACACAGGCACGCAUACACAUGCGCACAUGUGCGCGCACGCUUAUGCAGCCAUGAGCCUGCGCAUGCUCACAGCACGGGAGCUGGGAGCUGCUUCUUAUGCCUUUUAUGCUGCUCGCUGUCAGCCAGUUGCUUUCCCAGUCUAGGCCUCCGUGUGUUCAUUUGUCAAAUUUAGGAGAAGGACUAGACUCUCUCAGCCUUGCCUGUAAAGGUCCCGGAGUUUGGAAUCCCCACCUGACUAUAAACUCCCCGAGGGCAGGAACUUGGCUUCAGUCCGGACUUGGCUUCAAUCCCUGGGUGCCUGAGCGCCCAGAAACCUCAGGAGAAGCCUCUGGAGGGUCCACCAAUGCCAGCUUCUGUUUGCGGCCGCUGUCCCUAGACCUGGAGGCUGCCCACAGAGCCAGAGGCCUUUUUCAAACACGAGCUGGGACCCAUCCAGGCUACUCUGGCAGAGGCUGAAGGAGGAACCUGCUUCUGAAGUCAGGAUCCUGAAUUCCCAAGCGGGUCACGCAUGGCACCCUGCGCUCCAGUGCCUUGGGACCAAGCAGGAGACCCAGCAGAGGCUCUUGGUUCUGCUGAAGGAGCCCUGUGCAGCCACAGGUGGGGGGACUCUGGCAGAGCAUCACUGAAGUGACCUGUGACCCUCACUCAACUCUGCAGGUCACCCAGAGAACAGGAAGGACUGUCCUGCCCACCCCAGAUCUCCUGAUGCCUUGUCGUGACUCUGGCUGGCUUUCAGCUGGCUGAAAACAGAGGGAAAGGGAUUGUACGGUAUGACUAGACCUGGAACUGUAUCCCCCCAAUAAUAAUUUGCUGAACACUUACUAUGUACUAGGCACCAUUGGAGACAAUAUAAUUAGCCCUCGUCAAUUUCAACAAUAUUGUGAAAUUAGUGUUGUUGGCAUAGUAACGUUAGUAAUAUUGGAAGUUGAAGCCCAGAGAGGUUAGGGAACUUGACCAGCAUCACAUGGACAAUAAU
Long non-coding RNA from Orcinus orca (killer whale), 1093 nucleotides. RefSeq lists it as uncharacterized. Lineage: Eukaryota; Metazoa; Chordata; Mammalia; Artiodactyla; Delphinidae. The transcript is spliced from 3 exons. The record is from RefSeq and is a predicted model, not a curated record.